Molecule: ribosomal RNA, 497 nt
Filed under: uncultured bacterium
Lineage: Bacteria
Description: partial 16S ribosomal RNA
Rfam family: Bacterial small subunit ribosomal RNA
Source: RNAcentral
GAUGAACGCUGGCGGCGUGCCUAAUACAUGCAAGUCGAGCGAACGGACGAGAAGCUUGCUUCUCUGAUGUUAGCGGCGGACGGGUGAGUAACACGUGGAUAACCUACCUAUAAGACUGGGAUAACUUCUGGAAACCGUAGCUAAUACCGGAUAAUAUUUUUAACCGCAUGGUUCAAAAGUGAAAGACGGUCUUGCUGUCACUUAUAGAUGGAUCCGCGCUGCAUUAGCUAGUUGGUAAGGUAACGGCUUACCAAGGCAACGAUGCAUAGCCGACCUGAGAGGGUGAUCGGCCACACUGGAACUGAGACACGGUCCAGACUCCUACGGGAGGCAGCAGUAGGGAAUCUUCCGCAAUGGGCGAAAGCCUGACGGAGAAACGCCGCGUGAGUGAUGAAGGUCUUCGGAUCGUAAAACUCUGUUAUUAGGGAAGAACAUAUGUGUAAGUAACUGUGCACAUCUUGACGGUACCUAAUCAGAAAGCCACGGCUAACUACGUG